Long non-coding RNA from Neoarius graeffei (lesser salmon catfish), 728 nucleotides. RefSeq lists it as uncharacterized. The record is from RefSeq and is a predicted model, not a curated record. Lineage: Eukaryota; Metazoa; Chordata; Actinopteri; Siluriformes; Ariidae. The transcript is spliced from 5 exons.
CCUCAUGGUGGUGGUGGUGGUGUGUUACAGUUCUCUGCUUUAGCAGUCCAGGUUUGGGCCUCUUUAAGAGUGUUAUGAUGGCGCUCUUGUCGUCCACUUCUCCUCCAGGUUGAGUUCUGUGUAUCUGGAUCACUGUGCUAGUGCACUGCUGAUGCUUAAAGUUCCUUAGAGACACAGCUAUGGCCUGCUGAAUUGAACAGAAAGGCUGAUGGCAUUCCUGGCCUUGCUUUCUUAAAAGCUGUUGCUUAGUAUGGUGCUGUACAGUCAGUGCAAGAGGAACAAGGUCAGCCAGUUCUUCCUGUUCACAUAAAGCAUAAAUCCCCAAGUUGAUACCAUCAUGACAAACUUUGUGUUUUUGGUGAUGUCACUUUUUCUUGGGACAGCAUAUGCAGGACUGGCACAGGUUUUAGUUGUGUGUAGUCUAAAAGAACCUGACAAGAAGGCCUGCUACAUCUCUUUCCUUUUUACCAUUUUAAACUGCUGUAGAAGUGACUUGUGUAUAUGCCUGUUUUGUAGGUGAAGGUUUGAGAAGGCUGAUGCACCAAGUGGAAGAUGGACUUGAUGGUUGCCAUGUUUGCAUGAAAUCUGCAUUUGUAGCUUGUUCAGACCCUCAAGAUAGUGUGGGGUGGAACUUGGGCUAAAGUCGUUGUUUUUUUUUUUUUUCUGCUGUCUUUGACUCUUGACCUGAACAUUUUGAAGAAUAAACUUGAAUUUCAGUGUCCAUGAAA